Molecule: ribosomal RNA, 982 nt
Filed under: human oral metagenome
Description: bacterial LSU rRNA
Rfam family: Bacterial large subunit ribosomal RNA
Source: RNAcentral
ACGGUCCUAAGGUAGCGAAAUUCCUUGUCAGGUAAGUUCUGACCCGCACGAAAGGUGUAAUGAUUUGGGCACUGUCUCGGCAGCAGACUCGGUGAAAUCUUAGUACCUGUGAAGAUGCAGGUUACCCGCAACUAGACGGAAAGACCCCAUGGAGCUUUACUGUAGUCUGCUAUUGAGUUUCGGUUAAGUAUGCACAGGAUAGGUGGGAGACGAUGAGACUGGUCUUUCGGGAUCAGAGGAGUCACUGUUGGGAUACCACUCUUACUUAAUUGAAAUUCUAACUCUAAGCCGUGAUCCGGCUAGAGGACCGUGGCAGAUGGGCAGUUUGACUGGGGCGGUCGCCUCCCAAAGAGUAACGGAGGCGCACAAAGGUACUCUCAGAAUGGUUGGAAAUCAUUCAACGAGCGCAAACGCAGAAGAGUGCUUGACUGCGAGACAAACAAGUCGAGCAGGGACGAAAGUCGGUGUUAGUGAUCCGGCGGUGCAGAAUGGAAUGGCCGUCGCUUAACGGAUAAAAGCUACCCUGGGGAUAACAGGCUGAUCUCGCCCAAGAGUUCACAUCGACGGCGAGGUUUGGCACCUCGAUGUCGGCUCAUCGCAUCCUGGGGCUGAAGUAGGUCCCAAGGGUUGGGCUGUUCGCCCAUUAAAGCGGUACGCGAGCUGGGUUCAGAACGUCGUGAGACAGUUCGGUCCCUAUCUGUUGUGGGCGUUGGAAAUUUGAGGAGAGCUGCCCCUAGUACGAGAGGACCAGGGUGGACGUUCCUACGGUGCACCAGUUGUCACGCCAGUGGCAUAGCUGGAUAGCUGAGAACGGACCGGAUAAACGCUGAAGGCAUCUAAGCGUGAAACCGACUCCAAGAUUAGAUUUCCCAUCAUUUCAAAUGAAUAAGACCCCUUGAAGACGACGAGGUUGAUAGGUCAGAGAUGUAAGUGUAGCGAUACAUUCAGUUGACUGAUACUAAUAGGUCGAAGAUUUAUUCAC